AUUGAACGCUGGCGGCAGGCCUAACACAUGCAAGUCGAGCGAGCGGCGGACGGGUGAGUAAUGUAUGGGGACUGCCCGACAGUUGGCGCUAACUACUGGAAACGGUAGCUAAUACCGCAUACUAUCGGAUAACCCAUAUAGGAUUAGCUAGUGGGUGUGGUAAUGGCUACCCUAGGCGAAGCUCCCUAGCUGGUCUGAGAGGAUGAGCAGCCACACUGGGACGGAGACACGGCCCAGACUCAUACGGAGGCAGCAGUGGGGAAUAUUGUACAAUGGGCGCAAGCCUGACGCAGCCAUGCCGAGUGGAUGAAGAAGGCCCUAGGGUUGUAAAGUACUUCCAGUCGGGAGGCGUUACCGACAGAAGAAGCACCGGCUAACUCCGUGCCAGCAGCCGCGGUAAUUC
This 403-nucleotide ribosomal RNA is filed under the name uncultured bacterium. Its description in RNAcentral is "partial 16S ribosomal RNA". It matches the Rfam family "Bacterial small subunit ribosomal RNA", at positions 30 to 526 of the family's 1533-position model. The record is from RNAcentral.